This 442-nucleotide ribosomal RNA is filed under the name uncultured bacterium. Its description in RNAcentral is "partial 16S ribosomal RNA". It matches the Rfam family "Bacterial small subunit ribosomal RNA", at positions 338 to 795 of the family's 1533-position model. The record is from RNAcentral.
CCUACGUGAGGCAGCAGUGGGGGAUAUUGGACAAUGGGGGGAACCCUGAUCCAGCGACGCCGCGUGAGUGAAGAAGUAUCUCGGUAUGUAAAGCUCUAUCAGCAGGGAAGAAGAAAUGACGGUACCUGAGUAAGAAGCCCCGGCUAACUACGUGCCAGCAGCCGCGGUAAUACGGAGGGGGCAAGCGUUAUCCGGAAUUACUGGGUGUAAAGGGAGCGUAGACGGUGAUGUAAGUCUGGAGUGAAAGGCGGGGGCCCAACCCCCGGACUGCUCUGGAAACUAUGUGUCUGGAGUGCAGGAGAGGUGAGCGGAAUUGCUAGUGUAGCGGUGAAAUGCGUAGAUAUUAGGAGGAACACCAGUGGCGAAGGCGGGUCACUGGACUGUAACUGACGUUGAGGCUCGAAAGCGUGGGGAGCAAACAGGAUUAGAUACCCUUGUAGUC